GUCCUUGCGUCUACAGCCUGGGCGUUUCGCGUAAGGCUGAUGGCUGGUGGCAGUUGCCACCGGCCU
Molecule: non-coding RNA, 66 nt
Rfam family: Pseudomonas sRNA P26
About the family: P26 is conserved across many Gammaproteobacteria species and appears to be consistently located between the DNA directed RNA polymerase (beta subunit) and 50S ribosomal protein L7/L12 genes.
Source: Rfam